GCGAUGUAGACGAUGGCCAGCGUCCAUGCUGUUAUCAGCAGCGCGACAGCGCCGUAGACGGCCGCCCGCCUACGGCUCAGACCCUGUCGCGCCGCC
Molecule: transfer RNA, 96 nt
Filed under: Mycolicibacterium vulneris
Lineage: Bacteria; Bacillati; Actinomycetota; Actinomycetes; Mycobacteriales; Mycobacteriaceae
Description: tRNA-Asp
Source: RNAcentral